Molecule: long non-coding RNA, 1276 nt
Organism: Cervus elaphus (red deer)
Lineage: Eukaryota; Metazoa; Chordata; Mammalia; Artiodactyla; Cervidae
Exons: 4
Source: RefSeq, a predicted model, not a curated record
UCCAGUUUAGAUUCAGAGCGAACGUUCUUGGCAGGAACGCUACAGAGAUGGUGUUUCUAAACCUGUAGUGUGCUUCCAUCACUUCAGGAGACAGAUGAAGCUAGCUUGUCCAAUUAGUAGUAAUUAAGCUUUGCUCGCUUGAUUAAGGCGGUGUACGCCAGAUCAGGCUAGCUUUCGAUAAACACAGAAACCUGGGUUUUAUUGGCAUUGACUUCCCAAGCAGCUGAAGGGAAUGUAGCCCUCCUAGCCUGCCUUCAUCUUCACUCCUCCACUCUGAACGCCAGGAACAGUCUCCACCGCAGGACGUGGGGGGAGAGUCGCGAGGCCCUGCCGGGGCGUCGCUUGUUCCCAGUUAUCCUGAGGCCAGCGGAGACAUCGCCUCCGUCAUUUUCUGUCUGGCACUGCUGGGCCCGGGAUGGAAGUUAUCCCUGCACCCCACCACGCGCCACGUGUCUACGCAGUAAUCUCAGCCUGUGCGUGAAAGCAGUCCACAGUUUUGAUGACCACUGAGAGAACCCAGAGAAGACUUCUUUCCUUCGCCUGAACUCUACGGGGAAAUGGAGCCUUGGUACUAGCAGAGUCUUCUUGUGCCCAUCCACCUCCUCCUAGAGUUCAGACGAAUUUGGUCGACAGGCUGUCAAGAGAUUCCUGCCAGAGGCUACCUGGGGUCUACUCAGAACCAGCGCUUGGUCCUGGCAUGGGCCCGUUGAGCCCCACCAGCUUCUCAACACUCCUCAGUUCUUGUUGCUUUACAACAGUAAUCCAACCUUGGAUGAGAUUGGAUUCACCAUCACGUGCAACCAGGACACUAUUCAUACUGGAAAAGACAUGGGGAUAAAGGAUUCCUUAAAGCCAUGUUAGAAGACCUUUCCUGAAUGAACUGAAACUCCUGUUUUUGACACCUGACUUUAACUAAGACCAGCACUACCAGACCAUGAUAAGACAUCCGAACUAAGACAGAUGACCCAAGAUUCUGGACCAGACUUGUAUACUAUUUUGACAAUUGCUCUUGGUUUUGCUUAGGAACCAAGUGUAUUUCUUGGGCUUAAACACGUGCAAGUUUCAAAAACCAAUUAUCUUAAGACAGUCCAACACUGUGCACGCUGUCACACUGCCAGUGUCGGAGACCCUUAACCAGCCGGUUAACAACGCCUCUUCUGCCAUGUUGUUGUUGUGUAGUCACUAGGUUGUGUCCAACUCUGCGACCACGUGGACUGUAGCGCGCCAGGCUCCUCUGUCCAGGGGAUUUUUCAGGCAAGAAUACUGGAGUGGGUUG